This 515-nucleotide ribosomal RNA is filed under the name Nematoda environmental sample. Its description in RNAcentral is "SSU rRNA". It matches the Rfam family "Eukaryotic small subunit ribosomal RNA", at positions 58 to 570 of the family's 1831-position model. Lineage: Eukaryota; Metazoa; Nematoda. The record is from RNAcentral.
UCUAAGCACAUGCCUUAAUACGGUGAAGCCGCGAAUAGCUCAUUACAACAGCCAUCGUUUACUAGAAAAUAGUUAUCUUACUUGGAUAACUGUGGCAAUUCUAGAGCUAAUACAUGCAAAAUAGCUCCGCCCGCAAGGAACGAGCGCAUUUAUUAGAAUAAAAACCAAUCGGGCUUCGGCCUGUAAUUUGGUGAAUCUGAAUAACUUUGCCAAUCGCACAGUCCUAGUACUGGCGAUGUAUCUUUCAAGUGUCUGCCUUAUCAACUUUCGAUGGUAGGUUACACGCCUACCAUGGUAGUAACGGGUAACGGAGAAUAAGGGUUCGACUCCGGAGAGGGAGCCUGAGAAACGGCUACCACAUCCAAGGAAGGCAGCAGGCGCGCAAAUUACCCACUUCCAGAACGGAGAGGUAGUGACGAAAAAUAACGAGACAGUCCUCUUCGAGGUCUGUCAUCGGAAUGGGUACAAUUUAAAUCCUUUAACGAGGAUCUAUUGGAGGGCAAGUCUGGUGCCAG